UACAGAGGUGGCAAGCGUUGUUCGGAUUUACUGGGCGUAAAGGGUGCGUAGGCGGCUUUGUGUGUCGGAUGUGAAAUCCCACGGAUCAUCUGUGGAACUGCAUUCGAAACUGCAGAGCUGGAGUGCAGGAGAGGAAGGUGGAAUUCUCGGUGUAGCGGUGAAAUGCGUUGAUAUCGAGAGGAACGCCGGUGACGAAGGUGACCUUCUGGACUGCAACUGACGCUGAGGCACGAAAGCUAGGGGAGCAAACAGG
RNAcentral lists this ribosomal RNA (253 nucleotides) under uncultured bacterium. RNAcentral describes it as "partial 16S ribosomal RNA". It matches the Rfam family "Bacterial small subunit ribosomal RNA", at positions 524 to 776 of the family's 1533-position model. The record is from RNAcentral.